Molecule: unclassified non-coding RNA, 383 nt
Filed under: Hevea brasiliensis (rubber tree)
Lineage: Eukaryota; Viridiplantae; Streptophyta; Magnoliopsida; Malpighiales; Euphorbiaceae
Source: RNAcentral
GGAGAAAUCGCAAGGCCAAUUAUUCUUGAUUGGGUGAUUGCUCAGCAUGAGAGGAUACUUGAAUGGACUGGACGUGCUGCUGAUCUUGAGGACUGGGAGCCCCUAUCACAUCAGCAAAAACAAGCAGCUUCAGCUGUAGAAGUAUUUAGAAUCAUAGAGGAGACUGUUGAUCAAUUUUUUGAGCUGAGGCUUCCAGUGGAUAUCACACACUUGCAGGCUUUACUUUCCAUAAUCUUUCACACGUUGGAUGCCUACUUGCAGAAAGUGGUUAACCAGUUAGUUGACAAGCAUAAUCUUUAUCCUCCUGCUCCUCCCUUGACUCGUUAUAAGGAGACAGCAUUUACAAGCGCCAAGAAAAAGUUGGUUGAAUAUGUGGUUCUUGA